CCUACGGGAGGCAGCAGUGGGGAAUAUUGCACAAUGGGGGAAACCCUGAUGCAGCGACGCCGCGUGAGUGAAGAAGGAUUUCGGGAUGGAAAGCUCUAUCAGCAGGAACGAGACAAGAGGGAAGCGGACGAAGAAGCACGGGCUAACUGAGUGACAGCAGCCGCGGUACUACGUAGGUGGCUAGCGUUAUCCGGAAUCCCGGGGGGUAAAGGGAGCGUAGACGGCUGAGCAGGCCGGAAGUGAAAGGCGGAGGCCCAACCCCCGGACUGCUGUGGUAACGGUACGGCUGGAGUGCAGGAGGGGUAAGUGGAAUUCCUAGUGUAGCGGUGAAAUGCGUAGAUAUUAGGAGGAACCCCAGUGGCGCAGGCGGCUUACUGGACUGUAACUGACGUUGAGGCUCGAAAGCGUGGGGAGCAAACAGGAUUAGAUACCCUUGUAGUC
RNAcentral lists this ribosomal RNA (441 nucleotides) under uncultured bacterium. RNAcentral describes it as "partial 16S ribosomal RNA". It matches the Rfam family "Bacterial small subunit ribosomal RNA", at positions 338 to 795 of the family's 1533-position model. The record is from RNAcentral.